GGUAGUCGAAUAUGAUAAGGUAAGUGAUUCAUGUAAUCACUUCUUAGUACAAGUAAGUAAUAUACUGUUUAAAUUAAUUGAACAUAAUGUUUGAAGUCAUAUAUGUGAUGAAGUCUUUCAUUGUAAAUGAUUGAAUUAAAGUUGACCAAAAUGCCCUUGAAGGGUAUUUUGGGCAAACGAUAGUAAAAAGUGGUUUAGAACCAAGUUGUUCGAUCAAUGUAAUGUUUUAGAUAAGUAUGGAAGUGAGAAGUAUGGUCUUUGUAAUCCAUAGACCUUACAAUGCGUAAAUACCCAUUACGGGUCAAAAUGAGCUUUUGAGCGAAAAAUAGAUUAAGAGAACGCUAGACAUCCGAGAAUUUAAUCUUUAUGAUAGGCGUCAAUGAAACCAUUAAGUUCUUAUGAGAUUGAGGUCAAUUAAACAGUUUACGAUGAUAACUGCACGAACGGGUCAAAUAAUUAGAAGGUCAUAAUAAGCCGAAUGCAUGUAAGUUAAGAAUUUCCUUAAUCCGGAUGUGGGAUUUUAAGUUUAUAUGAUGGAAUGUGAAUUUACAAGCGUGUAGGAGGAAACAGGAGGUUAAACGGGUCAAAAGUUACGCGCGUUUUAGUGCGCUCGGACGACGAAACGGAUCUGCAAAAAAAAGGACUUUUCUAGAGGCCGUCGCCGACGGGUUCCCACCCCGUCGCCGACGGGCUCCCAAAAGCACGAAAGAGGCCGACGGCUUAAAUGACUGGUUACGGGACUUUUGGGCGACGGGUAUAAGGAGAGGCCGUCGCCGACGGGUCCCCACCCCGUCGCCGACGGGUUGACCAGCCCGAUUCUCUGUUUUUGCUUUGUGUAACAUUUCCGAGUGAUUCGUAACGCAUUCCGGUGUAUCACUCGAUGAUUCGUAAAGCUUCUCAUGAAAAUAUAGGCAAGUACCUUCGAAGAUAAGCAAGUAUGUACGUUUGUAUGCAUUUGUUCACGUAUGUAGAAGUUAUGUAAGUAAGGUAUGCGUGACCGUAGGUAUGUUUAUAGUAUGUGGGUUCUAUACGUAUGUAUGUUUUAUAACUCUAAGAGUACGUAAGUAAGUAAGUAAAUACGUGUGUUGAUUUAGACACAUUGAGGGCUAACGUUAUUAAUGGUGUACCUGGAGAAUGAUAAGUAAUGCAGGUACACUCAUGAAGCCUCACCAGGAAAUGGAUACGCAGAUGAAAUGCUGGAAGUUUGUAAAAGAAUGAAAUGUGAAGUGUACACGUAUAAUCUUGUCUUAUGUUGUGUGCUAAUGUUUUGAAGGCAUGUAAUAAGACAUAAUGACCCAGGUACGUAAAUUUAGCGUACGGGUGCAUGUAAUGCUAAAAUUUAGUGAGCGAAGGAAAAUUUUAAUAAAACCUAAUAACAGAAUGGAAACGAAGAAAUAAAAACUAGACGGGUUAAAGAAGAUGAGAAAAAGGUUUCGGGGACGAAACCUUCUUUAAGGGGGGUAGAUUUGUAACACCCCAACACUCGAAUUAUUAAAUUCGUUAGUAGGUUACUUUGGGUAAUUAGAUGAAGUACAACAACUAAGUUAUUAAACUUAGUUAAAUGUCUAAUAAAUAAGUAAAGGAAUGAAGUUUGUGGCAACUAUGAUGAUGUAUUAGAGUUGAGGGACCUAGAUUGCCAUAAUGUAAACUAAAAUAUAAUAAAAAAAAAGAAAGAAAAAAUAAAACCACAACACACACUGUGCGUGUGUGUGGUCGAUCGCACAAGGCAGAGGGAAAGGGGUAAACCCUAAUUCUCAAGAAAUCUCCAAAUUGAAAAGGGAAUUGAAGGAUUUUAGGAUGCAUGUAUCAAGAUUAUCGAUCUCCUAAGUGUUCUUCACUAUCAAGAACGUGUCAAGGAGAGGUCAAGCAUAGGAGGAUAACGGGUCAAGAUAAGGCAAGGUGACAAAUACACUUAAUGGAGUACUCGAGGUAAGUGAAUUUCGAUUCACUUUUUAGUAGGUUUAAUAGAUUUUAAUACUUAUGUUUACGAAACAUCAUGAAAGAACAUGUAAUAAUCAGAAGUACAAAGCCAAUAAUGCCUCAUUAUCGAGGAAGGUUGUAUUAAGCCGAAAGUAAAUUGGUGGGUUUAAACGGGUCGAAUUUUAUGUGCAUAUGUUGCGUAAUGUAAUAAAAUUCGUUAUGGUUAAGACCUUGGGUAGGAAUUUUUAGUCAUUAUGUAAGGGGAACACUUCCCGGACCAUUAGGAACAAGUUUUAUAUGAUUCGGUUGUCGGUUUGUUAAUGAACGGAUUGUUUCAUGUUAGUGUAGGAAAUUUUAUAAGUAUAUGUGUAUAGGAACCCAAAGGGUACGUGGGUUGAAUCAUAGAUUGUUUAUACUAUGUAAAGUUGUGAAUGUGACAUUCCGGCAUAAACCUACAUGUAAAAGAAGCUUGUGUAUAUAUUCGUGAUUAAUUGAUUGUGCGUAGGAAGGAACAUUGGCAUGUAUGAAGGUACGCAUGUAUAUGUAAGUGUGUAUAUAUAUAUAUAUAUAUGUAUGUAUGAUAAUAAGUACGUAGGUGUGAAUGUAUGUGUGAAUGAAUGUUCAAUGCUUAAGACAUAUGCAUGAACGUUAUCAAAGUGUUCGAGUAUUUAUGGUUACUAAUGAUGUGCGUUGAGUUGGAAUGUAAUGUAGGUAUGGGAUCGUUGGCUUCAUGAUGAAAUGGAGCUGGAUUUGGAUAAGAGUAUUUAAGAAAGCGCUUGGACAAUUCCACGACUACUUUAUAGAAUGCUCUACGAAAUUCUAUUAUAUAGUUUAAUGUUGUAUGGUAUGUUAAUGACUAAUGGUUUGGUUGUACGUGGUGUCCACAGGUAUCGCUUGGGUUUUCUCUACAUUUAUUGAAGUGAAGCGGACUUAGUUCGAGUUGAGAGCAAGGAUUGUACGGGGUAGAAUGGUCACAUAGUGUAACUCAUAUAGAUUUUGAAGUAUUUGAACCUUCAUGUGUUUGAUAUGUCUAUUAAAGAACGAAAUUUUUGGGCUCUUGUUUUCUGCUGCGUCGUAUUUUAAGUUAUUAUACGUUAGUCUUACAGGGAAUUGUUCUUAUUACGAACGGGUCAUGCCCGAAUUUUGUUAAAUAAUAGUAUGAUAAUAUUACA
Molecule: long non-coding RNA, 3092 nt
Organism: Helianthus annuus (common sunflower)
Lineage: Eukaryota; Viridiplantae; Streptophyta; Magnoliopsida; Asterales; Asteraceae
Exons: 2
Source: RefSeq, a predicted model, not a curated record